Molecule: non-coding RNA, 30 nt
Filed under: Mus musculus (house mouse)
Lineage: Eukaryota; Metazoa; Chordata; Mammalia; Rodentia; Muridae
Source: RNAcentral
UGCAUUCAGGUUACUGCCUUGGCCUAGCUC